RNAcentral lists this ribosomal RNA (253 nucleotides) under uncultured bacterium. Its description in RNAcentral is "partial 16S ribosomal RNA". It matches the Rfam family "Bacterial small subunit ribosomal RNA", at positions 524 to 776 of the family's 1533-position model. The record is from RNAcentral.
UACGAAGGGUGCAAACGUUGCUCGGAAUUAUUGGGCGUAAAGCGCACGUAGGCGGCUUGGCAAGUCGGAUGUGAAAUCCCUCGGCUCAACCAAGGAAGUGCAUCCGAAACUGCUGAGCUUGAGUACUUAAGAGGAUCGCGGAAUUCCCGGUGUAGAGGUGAAAUUCGUAGAUAUCGGGAGGAACACCAGUGGCGAAGGCGGUUGCCUGGAGCUUUGCUGACGCUGAUGCGCGAAAGCGUGGGGAGCGAUCCGG